UACGCAGCCGCCGCCGGCUUCUAUCAAAGUUGGCUAUAGGGCGCCAGCUGCUACCGCGUGGGCUGCGCAUCCUCUUCCACCUCUUCUCUCUUUCAUCCUCCAAUGAGACCUAUUGGGUUGUAUUUCAGGUCUUAAAGCUUAAUCAAGUGGAUACUCAAUCAGGAGGUUCUGCACGUGUAUGUUCAAGUCCAGCUCUGCACAUAAUCGCAUCCGAAGGAUUCAUCGCCGUUCAAAGGACGAAGCUCAAGACCAGUACGAUCAAGAAUCUGUUGCCAUCAAUUAUGUCUCAUGUGCAUGUGCUAGCUGCUUGAAGAAAUUCAUCUCUGUCCUGAACGGCGUAUACUGUACUAACACAUCUAUGCGGAAUCAAUCAACCUGCUUGGGAAGUCAGCUUGGCUAUGUGUACGUAACGUGCAUGUGUGUUGGCCCCAUAUUUUCCCUGUGGAUACUGAGAUGCAUGGUACCACUGUGGAGAUCAACGAUGACGUCGUCUAUGUCUAUCAAUGUGAUUGGCAAUCACCAGAGAUGGAGAAACGCGCCAACGAGUCCGCCUACUUCCACGAGCCCUUAUUAACCACCAUGCCUACAGCAGCAUCAUUUGACUUCCGCAAACUCUUAUCCAAUUUUAGCCAGCCCGCUGAACACACCAGGUAAAUAUACACUGGUCAUACCCCGGUAAAGAUAAAGGGAUAAGCAACUUUUGGCAAUGCUACAAGAAAAAGAGAGAUGAUGUGACCACCUUUAGGAACGACCAUGACUACAACAUGUUGCAGAGUGAUAAAGUUUCUACACGCGAUGUCAUUAAAAGAUUGUGAAUUUGGACGAUAUGACCCUUCUUUUCAUAUGCCAAAUUUGAUAGGUGUAUACAGUGUGGCAUGUGUGUAUGCAUCACAUUACGAAGAAGUGAUGACCAAAUAAUAUCCCUGAUACAACAAAGGAUAUGGUUGAUUUUGCUACCUUUCAAUAUGGGAGAUGACAGCAGGACAUGAUUGGCACUACAGGCGUGAUUGGAAGUGAGAGAGUAGAAGAAGCCAUUGACAGACUAUAUAAAUAAUAUGCUUGAUACUAGGUAAUUAUGACUAUUUUCCAAUUUUCUUUCUUCAUUUCCAAGUUCAUGAUGUGUGAUGUGUCAGCGGGUAAGAUGCAACU
Long non-coding RNA from Triticum aestivum (bread wheat), 1149 nucleotides. RefSeq lists it as uncharacterized. The transcript has 3 exons. The record is from RefSeq and is a predicted model, not a curated record. Lineage: Eukaryota; Viridiplantae; Streptophyta; Magnoliopsida; Poales; Poaceae.